GCCAUAUUGCCUCAGUUAAGCAAAAACAUUCACCAUGAAAUACUUUGUGAUUGCGUUCUUCGUGUUUUCUUUGUUUCAAGUGGUACUGCUACAAAAUGUGAGAAAUGAAGGUGACGGUUCUUCAUCAGAGAAUAAAAUUAAAAUGUCUGCAUCCACGCUCCUGCGAACUAUCAAUUUUGUAAACGACGCAUUUAAUGAAAAGAGUUUCCAUGAUGGAGUGACUGAUGAUCAACAGCAACUUAUAAGACCAUAGCAUUAUUUCCCUAAGGCAACUAGUUAUAGGUGGAAAUCUUGGCAAGAGGAAAGGUUUCAAGUGUGGAUAAAAGUUCUCGAUAAAAAGACUCUCGACAGAGGACAAGAAUAUAUAAAAAAAAACUUGCGGUUGUGCCAAAGGCACUUUGAGAGCUGUUAUAAAUUGUAUAAAGGUGCUUUAUGUAGAACUGCAAUUCCAACUUUCAAUCUAGAACGUUAUACACCGGAUAUUCAUAAAACCAUGGAUGUAAUGGCAGAAACAAGCACAUAUGUCACCGAUAUUACUAAAGUAUUUUCGGACCAUAACUACUGCCUUACAAGUAGGCCCCGAAAACACGCGGUAUACAAUACUCAAAUUGGUUUAUUCCAAAAAAAUAUAAAAAAAUUACGUAGUGAAAUAUGUCGUCUGCGUAAAAGAGGUGAAGUAUUUAACAGCGCUUACAGAGCGCUGAAAAGUUGUCUGAUAAUGUAGCCGUUCAAAGAAUAACUAAAAAUAUGACAAAACCAGCACAGUUGUUUGUUCACAUGCAGCUACAGACGAAAAAAAAAGCGAAGGGAAGACGAUUUUCGCUAGAGGAAAAAAAUUUGUCAUUGUCUUUAUUCAAAAAAAGUCCUAAGUGUUACAAACUUUUAUGCAAGUAUUUUACUCUACCAUCAUCAAGAACGAUGAAACGAGUACUAAGCUAAAUUAAUAUAAUUCCAGGAAUAAAUCCUAUAAUUUUUAAAAGGUUGAAAAUUACACUGUUGGAAAAGGAUAAUAAUAAUCGUUUUUUCACUGUUCUUUUCGACGAAAUGUCAAUUACUCCCCAUGUGUCAUAUGAUCCAUACAAAGAUGAAAUACAAGGGUUUGCUUCAAAUAACAAAUGCUCUUUUUCUAACCACGCUUUGGUUUCUAUGAUAAAAGGCAUAAAAAAUGAUUUUAAGCAGCCAAUAGCAUAUUAUUUUACAAAUGCACUUAAUAAGAUAGAAUUAAAAAUACUAAUACGAACUGUCUUGGAACAUGCUUUUGAUGCUGGACUUAACGUAAUUAGCACAACAUGCGACCAGGCACCCGUUAAUGUCGGUGCCAUAAUAGAGUUGGUUAAUGAAACUAAAGCUAUAUAUUUACAGAAAGGAAAAGAUUGGUAUCAUGACAUAAUACGCAUUAAAGGACAAAUAAUAACCCCGUUAUAUGAUGUUCCCCAUUUAAUAAAAGGCCUUCGUAAUAAUCUACUUACUAAGGACCUUAUCUAUAUAAUAAUAAUAUCAGUCCUGUAUUAUAUACUUGACCACUGACUGACUUAUACCACUGCUGAGCA
This 1550-nucleotide long non-coding RNA is filed under the name Manduca sexta (tobacco hornworm). Its description in RNAcentral is "uncharacterized LOC119188392". The record is from RNAcentral. Lineage: Eukaryota; Metazoa; Arthropoda; Insecta; Lepidoptera; Sphingidae.